GGCGAACGCUGGCGGCGUACCUAAUACAUGCAAGUUGAGCGCUGAAGGUUGGUACUUGUACCCACUGGAUGAGCAGCGAACGGGUGAGUAACGCGUGGGGAAUCUGCCUUUGAGCGGGGGACAACAUUUGGAAACGAAUGCUAAUACCGCAUAAAAACUUUAAACACAAGUUUUAAGUUUGAAAGAUGCAAUUGCAUCACUCAAAGAUGAUCCCGCGUUGUAUUAGCUAGUUGGUGAGGUAAAGGCUCACCAAGGCGAUGAUACAUAGCCGACCUGAGAGGGUGAUCGGCCACAUUGGGACUGAGACACGGCCCAAACUCCUACGGGAGGCAGCAGUAGGGAAUCUUCAGCAAUAGACGAAAGUCUGACCGAGCAACGCCGCGUGAGUGAAGAAGGUUUUCGGAUCGUAAAACUCUGUUGGUAGAGAAGAACGUUGGUGAGAGUGGAAAGCUCAUCAAGUGACGGUAACUACCCAGAAAGGGACGGCUAACUACGUG
Molecule: ribosomal RNA, 497 nt
Filed under: uncultured bacterium
Lineage: Bacteria
Description: partial 16S ribosomal RNA
Rfam family: Bacterial small subunit ribosomal RNA
Source: RNAcentral